AACAGAUUUUACAAUAAAGCAUUUCCUUGGAAUACUGUCAUUACAAAUUAAGCAUAUAGCCCUAACAAACCUUCACUACAUUUGACUCCACAAAGUGGAUACUCCAAAUGGAUCNNNNNNNNNNNNUUUCCUGGAUUAUAAUCACUUGAACAUACAGGAGGGCCCAAAAUAUGGAACCUCUUUUUAAGUUACCACCUCCGGUCAGUCAUCUUGCCUGAAACCUGAUUUCCAGCAAUGACUACCAGGUGCACAUGAAGAUAUUAUCAAAUGAAAAAGGGCAAGAAACAGCAGAAAAACAAAUUGUGCAAAUCAGGCAGAGAGAUGGGAUGAAAACUAGAGGAACUCAGCUUUACCCCUCUCAAGGAGAAAAUAAUGAUGGUUAAUGUGGCAGCCCAAGGCAAAGUG
RNAcentral lists this unclassified non-coding RNA (405 nucleotides) under Hevea brasiliensis (rubber tree). Lineage: Eukaryota; Viridiplantae; Streptophyta; Magnoliopsida; Malpighiales; Euphorbiaceae. The record is from RNAcentral.